RNAcentral lists this ribosomal RNA (405 nucleotides) under uncultured bacterium. RNAcentral describes it as "bacterial SSU rRNA". It matches the Rfam family "Bacterial small subunit ribosomal RNA", at positions 29 to 419 of the family's 1533-position model. The record is from RNAcentral.
AACGAACGUUAGCGGCGCGCUUAACACAUGCAAGUCGCACGAGAAAGGGCUUCGGCCCCGGUAAAGUGGCGCACGGGUGAGUAACACGUGGAUAACCUACCCUCGAGCAGGGGAUAACAUCCCGAAAGGGGUGCUAAUACCGCAUAAGACCACGGCUUCGAAAGGAGCUGAGGUAAAAGCUGGCCUCUAUAUAUAAGCUAGCGCUUGAGGACGGGUCCGCGGCGCAUCAGGUAGUUGGCGGGGUAAUGGCCCACCAAGCCUAAGACGCGUAGCUGGUCUGAGAGGAUGAUCAGCCACACUGGAACUGAGACACGGUCCAGACUCCUACGGGAGGCAGCAGUGGGGAAUCUUGCGCAAUGGACGAAAGUCUGACGCAGCGACGCCGCGUGUGUGAUGAAGGCCUUC